Xyrichtys novacula (pearly razorfish) is the source of this 715-nucleotide non-coding RNA. Lineage: Eukaryota; Metazoa; Chordata; Actinopteri; Labriformes; Labridae. The record is from the annotation of a GenBank genome assembly.
GAACCGAAUCAUUUCCUCUAGUGAUGUAUGCGCUACUUUUUCAGCAGAUGAGGUGCACGCUACUCCUCUUCUCUGGUGUUUUUGUUGGGGGUUACAGGGGCGGGGCGCACGUGCACAUGCAUCGUCUGAUCAUACUCCGACUUUGCUGGUUACAUGGCAGAGAAAAUCGAAUUCCAAUCCCAUUAUCUGGGUGUCGUAACUACACUCUUAACUACACUAUCUGGAAUCAAUUUUAUUAGACGAAACUACCUUUGGUUUUUUUUGUUUUGUUUUUUUUUCACUGCUAAAUUUCCACCACAACAACUUUCAUACAAUAGGACACAGCAUGUAACAAGUAGUGCAUUAAACCCGCAGCAUUCUAUCAUUGCAGCUGUUUGCGAGGGAACGGUGCAUGUUCAGUGCGAGUUCUUCGAAACGUUCAGUGAACGAAUCACUCACUGAGCAGACCUGAUAAAUAGCAUACCAUAGGACAGUACACUUAAAACAUCAUGACUUAUAAACAAGUUCAUUUUUACAAACCUGUUUGCCAAAGCAACACAGACAAACACUCAAACAAAGCUAUGAACUGAAAUGAAUCCUGAAUCGUUCAGCUGUGUAUCAGUUCAGAAGGUCAGAGUCUCCUGCCAAAUGCUACAUGAUUUGGUGAUUUAGUGAAUGUAUCUUUUGAACUAAUCUUUUUAGUGAACUGAUUCUAGUGAUUCAGCACAUCUAAAAG